Molecule: long non-coding RNA, 1026 nt
Filed under: Mytilus galloprovincialis (Mediterranean mussel)
Lineage: Eukaryota; Metazoa; Mollusca; Bivalvia; Mytilida; Mytilidae
Source: RNAcentral
CGGUCAGACACGAAAACCCCUGCCACAAAAAAAUAUGCCCGCUUUUAUUCAUCAUGUUCAUUUAAUGCUAAAUAAUUCUGUUGGGAAUUUUCGUUUCUAAUAGCAAAAAAGUGGACAAGAUUUUUGUUUUGCGUCUAGAAUUUUUGUUUAAGGCAAAAAUCAGAGUUAAUUUUUUUUCUCUCAAAUAUCCAAGACUGUCUCCUCAAAUCAAAUGGUUCGUACUUACGACUUUAAAUCUAUAUAGAGCUUAUGCUGACUGGGGAUCAUUAUUCAGCUAUAUUAUUUCAAAAUGGGCUGGGGCGUUUGGGGUUAAACAUGUUUCCGUAGUUAGAUACUAUUGCUGUGGAACUUUUUUUUCAUGAGAGUGUAAUAGUCUAUAGAGCAUUACUUUCUGUUUGGUGGAAUAGUGAAAUAGAAGUCAAUAUGUUCUUGCUAAAUCCUGUGUCGCUUUGAAGGUGUCACGAUUGUCAUCCUCAGCCUACGCAAUGUAUUACUGUAAUUUGAAUUUCAAAAUGACUGAGAGAUGUUUUAUUCGCCCUCUACGCCCCCCUCUGGAUCCGCCACUGAAUUAAAAGUCCGAGUUGAAGUAUCGGAAACCAGUUCACAUUGACUGAAUCCUAUAGUCUGUUAUCACGAAACCAAAAAAGGUUUACCAAGUUUGUUUUCACUUUAAUCAUAUUUUUACAAUGCUAAUUUUGUCUGGAUUCCAUGUCAGAAUCUUUCAUAAUAAUGGCCAAUACAGUCAAAUCAUACAAUAACUGCCAAUCAUGCUGGUGCCUCAAUCCCUUAAAAUCUGACAAAGUCAAAAGAUGAAGCUAGUAAUAUACAUCAUUGGCCCCUUGCUUUUACACAAAAUAAGGUUGAUUUUAAUAGCGCGCAAAAGUGACUAAAGCCCUCAAAAUCCUAGCUUAAACACUGUUUUGAUAAUUUUCUUUAAAUUUUAAGAAGGGAAAAUUCUGUUAACAGUUUAUUUUUAGCGUUUUCUUUUAUUAAUCAUUCAAUAUUCAUUAUAUUUUUAGACCACGC